RNAcentral lists this small nuclear RNA (112 nucleotides) under Dasypus novemcinctus (nine-banded armadillo). The record is from RNAcentral. Lineage: Eukaryota; Metazoa; Chordata; Mammalia; Cingulata; Dasypodidae.
GUGCUCGCUUCAGCAGCACAUAUACUAAGAUUGGAAUGAUACAGAGAAGAUUAGCCUGGCCCCUGCCCAAGGAUGACAAGCAAAUCCAUAUCAUGAAGCAUUCCAUAGUUUU